Molecule: ribosomal RNA, 115 nt
Filed under: uncultured bacterium
Lineage: Bacteria
Description: partial 16S ribosomal RNA
Source: RNAcentral
ACGGACGCUAAUACCGCAUACGUCCUACGGGAAAAAGCAAGGGACCUUCGGCCCUUGCGCUAUCAGAUGAGCCUAGGUCGCAUUAGCUGGUUGGUGAGGUAAUGGCUCACCAAGG